Molecule: ribosomal RNA, 264 nt
Filed under: Triticum aestivum (bread wheat)
Lineage: Eukaryota; Viridiplantae; Streptophyta; Magnoliopsida; Poales; Poaceae
Description: partial small subunit ribosomal RNA
Source: RNAcentral
AUGGAUUUACCUGGACCAAUACAUGAGAUUCUUAUGCUAUUUGGGGGAUUUGUUCUUCUACUAGGGGGUCUAGGAGUAGUAUUACUUACCAACCCCAUUUAUUCUGCCUUUUCGCUGGGAUUAGUUCUUGUUUGUAUAUCCUUAUUCUAUUUUUUUAUUAAAUUCCUACUUUGUAGCUGUCGCACAACUUCUUAUUUAUGUGGGAGCCAUAAAUGUCUUGAUCAUAUUCGCUGUAAUGUUCGUAAAUGGCUCAGAAUGGUCUAA